RNAcentral lists this ribosomal RNA (406 nucleotides) under uncultured Chloroflexota bacterium. RNAcentral's name for it is "bacterial SSU rRNA". It matches the Rfam family "Bacterial small subunit ribosomal RNA", at positions 355 to 776 of the family's 1533-position model. The record is from RNAcentral. Lineage: Bacteria; Bacillati; Chloroflexota.
UGGGGAAUUUUCCGCAAUGGGCGCAAGCCUGACGGAGCAAUACCGCGUGGGGGAUGAAGGUCUGUGGAUUGUAAACUCCUUUUCUCUAGGAAGAAGUUCUGACGGUACUAGAGGAAUCAGCAUCGGCUAACUCCGUGCCAGCAGCCGCGGUAAGACGGAGGAUGCAAGCGUUAUCCGGAAUUAUUGGGCGUAAAGGGUCCGCAGGUGGCUAUUCAAGUCUGCUUUCAAAGAGUGGAGCUCAACUCCAUAGAGGGAGUGGAAACUGAGUAGCUAGAGUAAGGAAGGGGUAAGAGGAAUUCCCAGUGUAGCGGUGAAAUGCGUAGAUAUUGGGAAGAACACCAGCAGCGAAGGCGUCUUACUGGUCCUUAACUGACACUGAUGGACGAAAGCUAGGGGAGCGAAAGGG